ACAUUUCUUGGCCGCAUUUAGACAAGAUGCUCGAGUUCUUAUUUUUCCAGUCUGGUGGAUUGCAUUUGUUUGCAAGAACCUUGUUAAUAAUUGCUAAUAACACAGUAAAAUUACGAAGAACAACCAUCCUUCGAAAACCCUAUCCAGCUUACAAUUAAACAGCUUGUGAGGUCAUUAACAUGGUAAAGGUACAAGUUUC
Molecule: long non-coding RNA, 199 nt
Filed under: Populus tremula
Lineage: Eukaryota; Viridiplantae; Streptophyta; Magnoliopsida; Malpighiales; Salicaceae
Description: long non-coding RNA (PTRE_LNC000999)
Source: RNAcentral